This 502-nucleotide ribosomal RNA is filed under the name uncultured bacterium. RNAcentral's name for it is "partial 16S ribosomal RNA". It matches the Rfam family "Bacterial small subunit ribosomal RNA", at positions 30 to 523 of the family's 1533-position model. The record is from RNAcentral.
AUUGAACGCUGGCGGCAUGCCUUACACAUGCAAGUCGAACGGCAGCACGGGUGCUUGCACCUGGUGGCGAGUGGCGUACGGGUGAGUAAUAUAUCGGAACAUACCCUAGAGUGGGGGAUAACGUAGCGAAAGUUACGCUGAUACCGCAUACGGACUAAGGUUGAAAGUGGGGGAUCGCAAGACCUCAUGCUCAUGGAGUGGCCGAUAUCUGAUUAGCUAGUUGGUGAGGUAAAGGCUCACCAAGGCGACGAUCAGUAGCUGGUUUGAGAGAAAGACCAGCCACACUGGAACUGAGACACGGUCCAGACUCCUACGGGAGGCAGCAGUGGGGAAUUUUGGACAAUGGGGGCAACCCUGAUCCAGCAAUGCCGCGUGAGUGAAGAAGGCCCUCGGGUUGUAAAGCUCUUUUGUCAGGGAAGAAACGGUCUACUCUAAUACAGUGGGCUAAUGACGGUACCUGAAGAAUAAGCACCGGCUAACUACGUGCCAGCCGCCGCAGUAA